Molecule: long non-coding RNA, 674 nt
Organism: Sinocyclocheilus anshuiensis
Lineage: Eukaryota; Metazoa; Chordata; Actinopteri; Cypriniformes; Cyprinidae
Exons: 4
Source: RefSeq, a predicted model, not a curated record
CUCUCGUCCUCUAGUGGUGAAAUGCGUUUUAGUUUCGUUUUUGAGGGUGGCGUUACCGAACUGGAACUGGAGCAGAUAUCUUGAGCAGUCAACAUAUUUGUCUGAUAUUUACAACUAUCAUCGGAAACUUAAGAUGCAGAAGAUCCCGACUGCAGCUACAAUCAACAGAGAUCCAGCAGCAGCAGAAACCAGCACUAUCAGAGAAACUGAAUCUGGAGGGUAUGAAGGAGAGUGAAAGAGAGACAGUCAUUAAUGAGAGAGUCACAUCACUCACAUUCACCACUGAACACACCAGUGAACAAUUCUGCUGUGAUGAUGACGAAGAACAGUUUGAAAAGUUACUGCUGAUGACAGGAACAGGCAGACGAGCUGAGAAACAUGAGAGAAAAAGAGAAAUAUGAACAGAACAAUCAGCUUAUUUUCAGCGUUGUGAAUUGUAGUGAAUUUGUGUAAUGAAUGUUGAGUGAGUGUUUAGUGUGUUGUUGACGAUCACUGAAUGUGUCUGUCAUCUCAAAAUAUAAAACGAAUAAACAUUUGACUAUGUAAAUAGAAUGUGAACAUUUCAACAAAUUAUCUCUACUCACCAUAGACAGAAACGUUGAAUGUUUUAAAUGUCAGAUUCGCUCCAGCUAUCUCUAGUUGAUAAACUCCAGCAAGUUGAGUUGUGAUGUUUG